This 201-nucleotide ribosomal RNA is filed under the name uncultured bacterium. RNAcentral's name for it is "partial 16S ribosomal RNA". It matches the Rfam family "Bacterial small subunit ribosomal RNA", at positions 524 to 722 of the family's 1533-position model. The record is from RNAcentral.
UACGUAGGUGGCAAGCGUUGUCCGGAAUUAUUGGGCGUAAAGCGCGCGCAGGCGGCCUCUUAAGUCUGAUGUGAAAGCCCCCGGCUCAACCGGGGAGGGCCAUUGGAAACUGGGAGGCUUGAGUAUAGGAGAGAAGAGUGGAAUUCCACGUGUAGCGGUGGAAAUGCGUAGGAGAUGUGGAGGAACACCAGUGGCGAAGGC